Molecule: ribosomal RNA, 437 nt
Filed under: uncultured Clostridium sp.
Lineage: Bacteria; Bacillati; Bacillota; Clostridia; Eubacteriales; Clostridiaceae
Description: partial 16S ribosomal RNA
Rfam family: Bacterial small subunit ribosomal RNA
Source: RNAcentral
ACGGAAGGCAGCAGUGGGGGAUCUUGCACAAUGGGGGAAACCCUGAUGUAGCAAUGCCGCGUGAGGGAAGAAGGUCUUCGGAUUGUAAACCUAAGUAGUCAGGGAUGAAGAAAGUGACAUUACCUGAAGAGUAAGCUCCGGCUAACUACGUGCCAGCAGCCGCGGUAAUACGUAGGGAGCGAGCGUUGUCCGGAUUUACUGGGUGUAAAGGGUGCGUAGGCGGGCUUGCAAGUCAGGCGUGAAAUACCGGGGCUUAACUCCGGGGCUGCGCUUGAAACUGUAAGUCUUGAGCGAAGUAGAGGCAGGCGGAAUUCCCAGUGUAGCGGUGAAAUGCGUAGAUAUUGGGAGGAACACCAGUGGCGAAGGCGGCCUGCUGGGCUGUAACUGACGCUGAGGCACGAAAGUAUGGGGAGCAAACAGGAUUAGAUACCCUGGUA